GCCUGGGUGGCUCAGUCAGUUAAGCAUCUGACUUCAGCUCAGGUCACGAUCUCGCAGUCCGUGAGUUCGAGCCUCGCGUCGGGCU
Molecule: transfer RNA, 85 nt
Filed under: Felis catus (domestic cat)
Lineage: Eukaryota; Metazoa; Chordata; Mammalia; Carnivora; Felidae
Rfam family: tRNA
About the family: Transfer RNA (tRNA) molecules are approximately 80 nucleotides in length. Their secondary structure includes four short double-helical elements and three loops (D, anti-codon, and T loops).
Source: Rfam by way of RNAcentral